AAGAGGUAGCAAUACCUUUGUCGGCGACCGGCGCACGGGUGAGUAACACGUAUGCAAUCCACCUGUAACAGGGGGAUAACCCGGAGAAAUCCGGACUAAUACCCCAUAAUAUGGACGCUCCGCAUGGAGGGUCCAUUAAAGAGAGCAAUUUUGGUUACAGACGAGCAUGCGCUCCAUUAGCCAGUUGGAGGGGUAACGGCCCACCAAGGCGACGAUCAGUAGCCGGUCUGAGAGGAUGAACGGCCACACUGGAACUGAGACACGGUCCAGACUCC
This 275-nucleotide ribosomal RNA is filed under the name uncultured bacterium. RNAcentral describes it as "partial 16S ribosomal RNA". It matches the Rfam family "Bacterial small subunit ribosomal RNA", at positions 71 to 339 of the family's 1533-position model. The record is from RNAcentral.